AUAAACGAUUUUUCUUGUUGCAGGGGAUUGCAGUGGCAAAGCUAGGCUAGGUCUUGGAGGCUGGUGUAAGGCGAUGUGGGUGAAGGCAGGAGGCUGAUGGAAAGACUGGGGGGAAGAAAAGCCGAAAUGGAUUCACGGUGCCUUGGAUGAAGGACGAGAGGGGAACUGCAAGCUCCUUCAACUGGUUCUGUCCGGUGAGAAGUGAUCAAGCUUGGGCUGACAAGAGGCUCAGGGAGCCCUCACGUUCUUUCGCUUUUUUACCUGCCAAUCAAACUGCUACAAGACAACACCCUGAUCUGGCAUGGACAUAUCCAACUUAGAAAUAAUGUUUCAUUCAAGAUAAGGCUCGUGGCUUAGGAGAUUGUGACCUGGCUUGCAUCAUUCUAAGACUUCUAUCGUCUGUUUUCAAAACCCAAGGAGGACCUCCUUUUCUGUGUGAUAGUUCCUCAUGCUUUGCCAGCCACUGGGUCUUUAAGGAAGCUUGCCAAGAGUUCCCGGCUGGGAAGGACAGUUCGAGUUCAUCAUAGACAAUGAGCUGGCACCACAGUUUAAGUGACUCACCAACCUGGUUGCCCACUUCAAAAUGUCAAGAACCACACUAUCUAAUUGAAAGAACUGUGUUUUAGCAAAGUGUAAUUGGAUCGCCUGGCAAGAUCAUCUCAAACUAUGUCUCUGACCUUGCCUUUCAGUGGCUAUUUUGAGCACAAGAGGAGAAAGGAAAUGAUUCCUGAAUUAUAUCUUGUUUUUAAAAAUUAAGAUUAAUUAAUACUUGGUUUUAUGUUCAUUCCAUUGUAGGAACUUAGUGAUUAUUACAAAACAG
RNAcentral lists this long non-coding RNA (820 nucleotides) under Homo sapiens (human). RNAcentral's name for it is "HSALNT0316532". The stretch from base 34 to 309 matches the Rfam family "SOX2 overlapping transcript exon 3". Lineage: Eukaryota; Metazoa; Chordata; Mammalia; Primates; Hominidae. The record is from RNAcentral.